GACAGAGGGUGCAAACGUUGUUCGGAAUUACUGGGCGUAAAGCGCGCGCAGGCGGCUAUGUAAGUCUGAUGUUAAAGCCCGAGGCUCAACCUCGGUUCGCAUUGGAAACUGUGUAGCUUGAGUGCAGAAGAGGAAAGCGGUAUUCCACGUGUAGCGGUGAAAUGCGUAGAGAUGUGGAGGAACACCAAUGGCGAAGGCAGCCUUCUGGGUCGACACUGACGCUCAUGCACGAAAGCGUGGGGAGCAAACAGG
Molecule: ribosomal RNA, 252 nt
Filed under: uncultured bacterium
Lineage: Bacteria
Description: partial 16S ribosomal RNA
Rfam family: Bacterial small subunit ribosomal RNA
Source: RNAcentral